Molecule: long non-coding RNA, 1911 nt
Filed under: Mus musculus (house mouse)
Lineage: Eukaryota; Metazoa; Chordata; Mammalia; Rodentia; Muridae
Description: predicted gene, 38534
Source: RNAcentral
CAGCUGCAUCAGACUGUGCCCUGUGUCCUGUUGGCAUGUCCCCAUGCUUCGUCCCUGGAGUGAACUACAACCUGGGACUUCCAGAGGCGGCUAUGGUUAGGCAGGGAGCAGCCAGUGUUCUGGAGUAGACCCAGACAUAAACCUAAUUCUUGAUUUGAGAACAGUGGCUCCUCUGAACUGGCUUGAUAAUGUGUUACCAGCCGGGGCGAGUCAGCCAUAGAGGGGCCUGGCAAUCCUUCUGCCCUGCAGAUUCUUUGACUCCUUCUUUUCUUUCUGUUGCUUUUGUUUGCCUAGUUGAGACAGGACCUCACUAUGAAGCCCAGGCUAGGCUUGAGUGAGAUCCCUCUGCCUCAGCCCUGCAGGGUGCUGGAUCCGGGAAUGUGCAGGCUCCUUACUGUUUGGAAGGAGGAAUUCUGCAGGGCUCAGAGCCGCAGGUGUUCCAUCCACCCUUCAGCUGCACUUCCUGUGGAUGAGACCCAGAGAAAUGGGAAGAUCAACUGGGCAGCAAGUGACAAUCACCUACUGAAUGUCACUGCUCCUCGAGUCACCAGAACAGACCGUUGUAUGAAUAAGAAUGACGUCUGCGAGCACCCGCCGUGCUCCACUGAUUGUAUGGGAUGCUCCUGGGAUUGGGCCAAGAGGUUCAACUCCAGCACCAGAGGGAGUAGGAUGCCAGGAGAGGCCAGCUUUGCAAACUCCCAACCCCCCGGGUUCUCAGUGGCAGAAGACUGAGUGUACAGGGACCAAGGUGGCUUGUGGUUGAGCUGAGACCACUGCACUUGGAGCAUCUGUAGCUCCAGACCCCUUCGCUUUCCUGACUCUACGGAUGAGGUGAUUCACGCUUGCUUCCUAUUCUGUCUUCAUGGAGUCAAGGAUGCUCUUAGCACCCGUAUUAGUCUAUUCUGGCUCUGAGAAGAGCAUGCUGUAGACUGGGUGGCUUCUAAACAACAGACCUUGAUCUCUUGGCUGUGAAGGCUGACAAGUUCAAGAUCAAGAGAUUCAGUGUCUCACAAAGGCCAGCUUCCGAUGACUUCUUCUCAUUGUGUCCUCCCAUGCCCGAGGGACGGAGUCUUCGGGUCUCAUUCACAAGGGCACUAUCCCCAGGGUCUAGCCAGCUCCCAAAGGUCUGCUUCCUGAUCCUAUCACACCAUGGACCAGGAUUGCAACCUUUGAUUGGAGGGUGGGGCAUAAAUAUCCAGUCACUGACAACACCCUUCCAGAGCCCUUAGGAUUCAAAAUGAUAAGUGAAUUCUCCAUUCUGGAACUGACACCACCUUCUGGAAAGAAAUAUACAGAAAGAGAAAGUAUACUAGUGUCAAGAAGAGAACGUCCCUGCUUUCCCAAAGAUAUACAAGUGGCCAUCUCAGCGGCUCUAGAUUCUAGAUCAUAGCACAGUGGAUAUGUUUGCUUAUAAAGAUAUUUUGAUCUUUUAGUUUAUGACUCAAAUGGAUUGCCAGAGUGGGGAUGAGGAGACCAAAAACAUAUCUAAGGCUCUUAGAACAUCUUUUCAAAUUGCCUUCCAAAUGGGUCAGAUUAAUUUUCAUCUUAUUCGGGAUCGGUACUGGCUGGUUUUGUGUGUCAACUUGACACAAGCUGGAGUUAUCACAGAGAAAGGAGCCUCCCCUGAGGAAAUGCCUUCAUGAGAUCCAGCUGUAGGGCAUUUUCUCAAUUAGUGAUGGGGGGGGGGGCGGGAAGGACCCCUGGUGGGUGGUGCCAUCCCUGGGCUGGUAGUGCUGGGUUCUAUAAGCAAGCAAGCUGAGCAAGCCAGGGGAAGCAAGCCAGUAAGUAACAUUCCUCCAUGGUCUCUGCAUCAGCUCCUGCUUCCUGACCUGCUUGAGUUCCUGUUCUGACUUCCCUUGGUGAUGAACAGCAGUGUGGAAGUGUAAGCUGAAUAAACCUUUUCCUCCCCAA